RNAcentral lists this ribosomal RNA (429 nucleotides) under Pseudomonadota bacterium. Its description in RNAcentral is "Proteobacteria bacterium partial 16S ribosomal RNA". It matches the Rfam family "Bacterial small subunit ribosomal RNA", at positions 355 to 776 of the family's 1533-position model. Lineage: Bacteria; Pseudomonadati; Pseudomonadota. The record is from RNAcentral.
UGGGGAAUAUUGGACAAUGGGCGAAAGCCUGAUCCAGCCAUGCCGCGUGUGUGAAGAAGGUCUUCGGAUUGUAAAGCACUUUAAGUUGGGAGGAAGGGCAGUAAGCGAAUACCUUGCUGUUUUGACGUUACCGACAGAAUAAGCACCGGCUAACUCUGUGCCAGCAGCCGCGGUAAUACAGAGGGUGCAAGCGUUAAUCGAAAUUACUGGGCGUAAAGCGCGCGUAGGUGGUUCGUUAAGUUGAAUGUGAAAGCCCCGGGCUCAACCUGAGAACUGCAUCCAAAACUGGCGAGCUAGAGUAGGGCAGAGGGUGGUGGAAUUUCCUGUGUAGCGGUGAAAUGCGUAGAUAUAGGAAGGAACACCAGUGGCGAAGGCGACCACCUGGGCUCAUACUAACACUGAGGUGCGAAAGCGUGGGGAGCAAACAGG